UACGUAGGGGGCUAGCGUUGUCCGGAAUCAUUGGGCGUAAAGCGCGUGUAGGCGGUCCGGUAAGUCCGCUGUGAAAGUCGGGGGCUCAACCCUCGAAUGCCGGUGGAUACUGUCGGGCUUGAGUACGGAAGAGGCGAGUGGAAUUCCUGGCGUAGCGGUGAAAUGCGCAGAUAUCAGGAGGAACACCAAUUGCGAAGGCAGCUCGCUGGGACGUUACUGACGCUGAGACGCGAAAGCGCGGGGAGCAAACAGG
This 253-nucleotide ribosomal RNA is filed under the name uncultured bacterium. Its description in RNAcentral is "partial 16S ribosomal RNA". It matches the Rfam family "Bacterial small subunit ribosomal RNA", at positions 524 to 776 of the family's 1533-position model. The record is from RNAcentral.